This 464-nucleotide ribosomal RNA is filed under the name uncultured bacterium. RNAcentral's name for it is "partial 16S ribosomal RNA". It matches the Rfam family "Bacterial small subunit ribosomal RNA", at positions 339 to 795 of the family's 1533-position model. The record is from RNAcentral.
CUACGGGACGCAGCAGUGGGGAAUAUUGGACAAUGGGCGCAAGCCUGAUCCAGCAAUGCCGCGUGUGUGAAGAAGGCCUGCGGGUUGUAAAGCACUUUCAGUGGGGAGGACGAGUUUGGUGCGAAUAGUGCUGGGACUUGACAUUACCCACAGAAGAAGCACCGGCUAACUCCGUGCCAGCAGCCGCGGUAAUACGGAGGGUGCGAGCGUUAAUCGGAAUUACUGGGCGUAAGGGGCGCGUAGGCGGUUAAUUAAGUCAGAUGUGAAAGCCCCGGGCUUAACCUGGGAACUGCAUUUGAUACUGGUUGACUAGAGUUUGGUAGAGGGGAGUGGAAUUCCCGGUGUAGCGGUGAAAUGCGUAGAGAUCGGGAGGAACACCCGUGGCGAAGGCGGCUCUCUGGACCAAAACUGACGCUGAGGCGCGAAAGCGUGGGUAGCAAACAGGAUUAGAUACCCUUGUAGUC